CCUACGUGAGGCAGCAGUCGAGAAUCAUUCACAAUGGGGGAAACCCUGAUGGUGCGACGCCGCGUGGGGGAAUGAAGGUCUUCGGAUUGUAAACCCCUGUCAUGUGGGAGCAAAUUAAAAAGAUAGUACCACAAUAGGAAGAGACGGCUAACUCUGUGCAAGCAGCCGCGGUAAUACAGAGGUCUCAAGCGUUGUUCGGAAUCACUGGGUGUAAAGCGUGCGUAGGCUGUUUCGUAAGUCGUGUGUGAAAGGCGCGGGCUGAACCUGCGGACGGCACAUGAUACUGUGGGACGAGAGUGCUGUAGGGGGAAGCGGAAUUCUCGGUGUAGCGGUGAAAUGCGUAGAUAUCGGGAGGAACACUCGUGGCGAAGGCAGGUUCCUGGACAUUAACUGACGCUGAGGCACGAAGGCCAGGGGAGCGAAAGGGAUUAGAUACCCUAGUAGUC
This 446-nucleotide ribosomal RNA is filed under the name uncultured bacterium. Its description in RNAcentral is "partial 16S ribosomal RNA". It matches the Rfam family "Bacterial small subunit ribosomal RNA", at positions 338 to 795 of the family's 1533-position model. The record is from RNAcentral.